AGUGAACGCUGGCGGCAGGCCUAACACAUGCAAGUCGAGCGGUAGCAUGGUUUGUAGCAAUACAAACUGAUGACGAGCGGCGGACGGGUGAGGAACACGUAGGAACUUGCCUUUUAGAGGGGGAUAACUAAGGGAAACUUUAGCUAAUACCGCGUAAUCUCGAGAGAGUAAAGCUGCCCGCAAGGGUGGCGCUAAAAGAG
This 200-nucleotide ribosomal RNA is filed under the name uncultured bacterium. Its description in RNAcentral is "partial 16S ribosomal RNA". It matches the Rfam family "Bacterial small subunit ribosomal RNA", at positions 29 to 226 of the family's 1533-position model. The record is from RNAcentral.